RNAcentral lists this ribosomal RNA (97 nucleotides) under uncultured bacterium. RNAcentral describes it as "partial 16S ribosomal RNA". It matches the Rfam family "Bacterial small subunit ribosomal RNA", at positions 1388 to 1482 of the family's 1533-position model. The record is from RNAcentral.
CACCGCCCGUCACACCAUGGGAGUUGGUUUCACCCGAAGGCGCUGCGCUAACUCGCAAGAGAGGCAGGCGACCACGGUGGGAUUAGCGACUGGGGUG